AGGGUUCGAUUCUGGCUCAGAACGAACGCUGGUGGCGUGUCUUAUACAUGCAAGUCGAGCGAGGCAGCAAUGCCGAGCGGCGAACGGGUGAGUAACGCGUAAGCAAUCUGCCCCAUAUCAGGAAAUACCCGUGCCAACGCGCGGUUAAUGUCCAGGAGAGUGGCCCCUUGCAUGAGGGGUUGACUAGAGAUUUAUCGGUAUGGGAUGAGCUUGCGUCCGAUUAGCUAGUUGGCGGGGCAACGGCCCACCAAGGCGACGAUCGGUAGCCGGCCUGAGAGGGUGAUCGGCCACAUUGGGACUGAGAUACGGCCCAGACUCCUACGGGAGGCAGCAGUAGGGAAUAUUGCACAAUGGGGGAAACCCUGAUGCAGCAACGCCACGUGUGGGAAGAAGCAUUUCGGUGUGUAAACCACUGUCAUGAGGGAAUAAGGCCCGCCUUCGGACGGGAUUGAAUGUACCUUGAGAGGAAGCACCGGCAAACUUCGUGCCAGCCGCUGC
This 498-nucleotide ribosomal RNA is filed under the name uncultured bacterium. RNAcentral's name for it is "bacterial SSU rRNA". It matches the Rfam family "Bacterial small subunit ribosomal RNA", at positions 8 to 518 of the family's 1533-position model. The record is from RNAcentral.